GACGAACGCUGGCGGCGUGCUUAACACAUGCAAGUCGAACGAAGAGCGAUGGAAGCUUGCUUCUCUCAAUCUUAGUGGCGAACGGGUGAGUAACGCGUAAUCAACCUGCCCUUCAGAGGGGGACAACAGUUGGAAACGACUGCUAAUACCGCAUACGAUCUAAUCUCGGCAUCGAGGAUAGAUGAAAGGUGGCCUCUACAUGUAAGCUAUCACUGAAGGAGGGGAUUGCGUCUGAUUAGCUAGUUGGAGGGGUAACGGCCCGCCAAGGCGAUGAUAAGUAGCGGGUCUGAGAGGCGAAACGGACACACUGGGACGGAGACACGGCCCAGACUCCUACGGGAGGCAGCAGUGGGGAAUCUCCCGAAAUGGACGAAAGUCUGACGGAGCAACGCCGCGUGAGGGAUGAAGGCCUUCGGGUUGUAAAACUCUGUUAAUCGGGACGAAAGGACUUCUCGCGAAUAGUGAGAAGGAUUGACGGUACCGGAAUAGAAAGCCACGGCUAACUACGUG
This 510-nucleotide ribosomal RNA is filed under the name uncultured bacterium. Its description in RNAcentral is "partial 16S ribosomal RNA". It matches the Rfam family "Bacterial small subunit ribosomal RNA", at positions 28 to 507 of the family's 1533-position model. The record is from RNAcentral.